Thalassophryne amazonica is the source of this 118-nucleotide long non-coding RNA. RefSeq lists it as uncharacterized. The transcript is spliced from 3 exons. NCBI's taxonomy places the organism in Eukaryota, Metazoa, Chordata, Actinopteri, Batrachoidiformes, Batrachoididae. The record is from RefSeq and is a predicted model, not a curated record.
UUUUCAAGAUUCAAGAUUUAUUUUUUGAAUAUUUGGACAAUCCAGAGCAUGCACACAGACAAAGAAAACAGUAGAAUCCAAGACCAGCAGGACAGUGAGUUUUUCUUCAUUUUGUUUU